AUUGAACGCUGGCGGCAGGCCUAACACAUGCAAGUCGAGCGGAUGAAGGGAGCUUGCUCCUGGAUUCAGCGGCGGACGGGUGAGUAAUGCCUAGGAAUCUGCCUGGUAGUGGGGGAUAACGUCCGGAAACGGGCGCUAAUACCGCAUACGUCCUGCGGGUGAAAGUGGGGGAUCUUCGGACCUCACGCUCUCAGAUGAGCCUAGGUCGGAUUAGCUAGUUGGUGGGGUAAAGGCCUACUAAGGCGACGAUCCGUAACUGGUCUGAGAGGAUGAUCAGUCACACUGGAACUGAGACACGGUCCAGACUCCUACGGGAGGCAGCAGUGGGGAAUAUUGGACAAUGGGCGAAAGCCUGAUCCAGCCAUGCCGCGUGUGUGAAGAAGGUCUUCGGAUUGUAAAGCACUUUAAGUUGGGAGGAAGGGCAGUAAGUUAAUACCUUGCUGUUGUGACGGUACCAACAGAAUAAGCACCGGCUAACUUCGUG
This 484-nucleotide ribosomal RNA is filed under the name uncultured bacterium. RNAcentral's name for it is "partial 16S ribosomal RNA". It matches the Rfam family "Bacterial small subunit ribosomal RNA", at positions 30 to 507 of the family's 1533-position model. The record is from RNAcentral.